This 440-nucleotide ribosomal RNA is filed under the name uncultured bacterium. RNAcentral's name for it is "partial 16S ribosomal RNA". It matches the Rfam family "Bacterial small subunit ribosomal RNA", at positions 338 to 795 of the family's 1533-position model. The record is from RNAcentral.
ACUACGGGUGGCAGCAGUGGGGAAUAUUGCACAAUGGGGGAAACCCUGAUGCAGCGACGCCGCGUGAGUGAAGAAGGAUUUCGGUAUGUAAAGCUCCAUCAGCAGGGAAGAAAAUGACGGUACCUGAUUAAGAAGCCCCGGCUAACUACGUGCCAGCAGCCGCGGGAAUACGUAGGGGGCAAGCGUUAUCCGGAUGUACUGGGUGUAAAGGGAGCGUAGGCGGCAGCACAAGUCGGGAGUGAAAUGCCGGGGCUUAACCCCGGAACUGCUUGUGAAACUUGGCAGCUAGAGUGCAGGAGAGGUAAGUGGAAUUCCUAGUGUAGCGGUGAAAUGCGUAGAUAUUAGGAGGAACACCAGUGGCGAAGGCGGCUUACUGGACUGUAACUGACGUUGAGGCUCGAAAGCGUGGGGAGCAAACAGGAUUAGAUACCCUAGUAGUC